This is a long non-coding RNA of Drosophila ananassae, 1497 nucleotides long. RefSeq lists it as uncharacterized. The transcript has 2 exons. The record is from RefSeq and is a predicted model, not a curated record. NCBI's taxonomy places the organism in Eukaryota, Metazoa, Arthropoda, Insecta, Diptera, Drosophilidae.
GGCAGGGGAGUGCGCCUCCUCCAGUCGCCGGCCAGUCCGGCCGGCCCCCCCGCCGAGGGGAAAGUGCCUGAGGGGUUGUGAAUGUCCGCCUUAUAUAGGCUUAGCCAGUACUAGAGGUGGGGAACUUGGUAGUUUGAGAAAAACUAUCGCUCGCUACCGAUGGUGCCGACUAUCGAUAGUUCCCCACCUCUAGUCAGAACAGGUGGCGAUUAAAUUCACGGAUCUGAAAUAAAAACAAACAAAUACAAAAAAUGUAACUGCUUUACCUCCAGCAGGUGCAGGGACAGGUGGGUGCGCCUCCUCCAGCAGUACCAGGUUGGUGCUCGUCCUCCAGCAGGCAGUGCUAGAUGGUUGCUCUUUCUGCAGCAUGAGCAGGUGGGAGCUCUUCCUCCUCCGGCAGGGGCAGGUGGAUGCAUUCCUCCAGCAGGGGCAGGUGGGUGUGCCUCCUCUAGCAGGGCUAGGUGUGUGCUCCCCCUCCAGCAGUGGCAGGGUGGUGAGCUUCCGCUUCCGGUGCUUAUGUGCAAGCUAUGAGAAUCGAAGAGGAGGGCCCUUCUGACUCCUCCGCCAACGGCACAGUCCUGCCUGUUAGGCAGUCUAGCUCCGGGCGCCGAGUCCCGUCGACGGCAACAACAGCAUCAACUGCCGGCAACAGCAGCUUCUGCCCAGGGAUCGGUGGCCGUUAUUUUCUAUUUAUACUAUUUUCGAAUCACUUUUCCAUCCCGGGAACUCCAGCAGUGGCUGCAGCAGCCGCCGCGAAUUCGCGUCAAGUGGCCGCCACAGCCGAAUAUUUCCGCAACCAGCGCUACCCGAAUCUUCAGCUGCGCGAUCUCGUUAACCAUAUGUAGAAUUCAUGCAGGAUCAGCACGGCUCGCGGUUCAUCCAACGGAAGCUGCAGCAAGCCACGGAUGACGAGAAGCAUGUGCUUGAAUACGUGGAUCCGGUUGCCCUGCAGUUCAUCAUCAAUGCUUUUUAAGGGACAGGUUUACUCGCUGAGCACCCAUCCCUAUGUGUUAUCCAGCGCAUCCUGGAGCACUGCACCGCCGAGCAGAGCACACCCCGUGCGAAAUGAUAAGGAUAUUCGCCAAAAAGUGUGAGAAACACGACGAUGGCACUUUUAUAAAUUUAAGGAAAUAAAAAGAUCCUUUGAUGCAAAUCGGCCGCAAAUAGUUCCCUGAUCGGGUCAAAAAUUUUUUAAAUCACUUUUAAACAAUACUUUGAAUAAGGAAAAAUGGCAGAAGGUUUGCUGAUUGUGGAAUGAAAUUAUGAAAUUCCGGCAUUUUGCCCCCCUUGGAUAUUUUCUCUCCUUUCCAUACGUAUAGUUCAGCCAGUUUGUAUCCAAUCUAGAAAUAAGGUACCAGUCUUUAAUCCGCGCACGGAGUACAACUCUUCCUCGUGCGAAGUAUUGCUUAAAUUUAAUUUUAAAUGCACAUCGUUUAAUGUGUAAUUUUUUUUAUUUAGUUUUGUGUUACCACAAUUGGAAUAUAUUUUACAAUUUUA